Molecule: ribosomal RNA, 107 nt
Filed under: Bacillus subtilis
Lineage: Bacteria; Bacillati; Bacillota; Bacilli; Caryophanales; Bacillaceae
Source: RNAcentral
GGCGAUAGCGAAGAGGUCACACCCGUUCCCAUACCGAACACGGAAGUUAAGCUCUUCAGCGCCGAUGGUAGUCGGGGGUUUCCCCCUGUGAGAGUAGGACGCCGCCA